Molecule: long non-coding RNA, 87 nt
Organism: Sarcophilus harrisii (Tasmanian devil)
Lineage: Eukaryota; Metazoa; Chordata; Mammalia; Dasyuromorphia; Dasyuridae
Exons: 3
Source: RefSeq, a predicted model, not a curated record
AACUACAACUCAUCGGUAUUAAAUAAUCUAUAUUUAUCCUCCAGAAGAAAUCCUCAAACUCCCAGAAAUUCCAUUUGCCUGAGAGAC